This 428-nucleotide ribosomal RNA is filed under the name uncultured bacterium. RNAcentral describes it as "partial 16S ribosomal RNA". It matches the Rfam family "Bacterial small subunit ribosomal RNA", at positions 354 to 796 of the family's 1533-position model. The record is from RNAcentral.
GUGGGGAAUAUUGGGCAAUGGGCGAAAGCCUGACCCAGCAACGCCGCGUGAGGGAAGAAGGUUUUCGGAUUGUAAACCUCUGUCCUUGGUGACGAACACAAUGACGGUAGCCAAGGAGGAAGCCCCGGCUAACUACGUGCCAGCAGCCGCGGUAAUACGUAGGGGGCAAGCGUUGUCCGGAAUGACUGGGCGUAAAGGGCGUGUAGGCGGCCGAUUAAGUCUGGAGUGAAAGUCCUGCUUUCAAGGUGGGAAUUGCUUUGGAGACUGGGUGGCUUGAGUGCGGAAGAGGCAAGUGGAAUUCCCAGUGUAGCGGUGAAAUGCGUAGAUAUCGGGAGGAACACCAGUGGCGAAGGCGGCUUCCUGGCACAAUACUGACGCUCAUGUGCGAAAGCUAGGGCAGCGAACGGGAUUAGAUACCCGGGUAGUCC